This is a long non-coding RNA of Vicia villosa (hairy vetch), 2907 nucleotides long. RefSeq lists it as uncharacterized. NCBI's taxonomy places the organism in Eukaryota, Viridiplantae, Streptophyta, Magnoliopsida, Fabales, Fabaceae. The transcript has 5 exons. The record is from RefSeq and is a predicted model, not a curated record.
UAAUCCCAAAGAGCCUUAUCAUACACUAAAACACAUACUUCAACUCAACUCUAACCUAAAACGAAACCUCAAAGAAAUUGAAAUCCAACCUUCGCUAAUACCUAUCUUAGAAAAUCGAUCUUGAGAGAAAUUGAAAACGAAACUUCAUAAAAUCUUGAGAGAAAUGGAAAACGAAACCGCAGAGAAUCGCUCUUGAGCAAGGUCUCAUGAAUCUCGUCAUUUCCUCUUUCAACUCAGGGAAUUACCCUAACUCUAUAUUCUAAUUUUCUCACAACGAUCUGAACUCUCGCAAUUGCAACCACCGAUCGAAUCUUCGAACCCUAGCUUGUAUUUCCCCCUUUCAUCUCAGGUAAACUUGUGGGAUUUUAAUCAGUUGUUAGGAAAACGCUUACAAAUAGGAAGGGCGCAGUUAGGUUAGUUCUUAAUGGCUGCUACAUCUGGGAUAGCUGAAGAGGAAACACAAGUGUCUUCUAGUGACGAGAUCGAUCCAAGGCUGGAUGUCUAUGUGUGGGACAUGGAUGAGACCUUUAUACUACUCUCCUUGCUGAAAUCAUCCUAUGCCGAGGCUUGGGAGGAUGUGGGAAAAUCUCUUUCUGCAAGUGUGAUGAUAAUUUCUUCUAUGAUCAAGAUCUCAGCAAACCUUACCUUUUAUACGGCUAAAUCUACGGUUUCAGUUCACUUCGCUUGAUGCAGAAGCACGACUCAAGGAUAAGAGGAUUUGAUGAAGUGUUUGGUUCUUAUUGAGAAGAAUGAGAGUUGCAGUGGUUGGUGCUGGGAUUAGUGGUUUGGUUUCAGCUUAUGUAUUGGCCAAAGCUGGAGUGAAUGUGGUUCUCUAUGAGAAGGAAGAUUACUUGGGAGGUCAUGCAAAAACUGUUAAUGCUGGUGGUGUUGAUUUGGACCUUGGUUUCAUGGUCUUCAACAGGGUAAUAAUCUAAUUCAUUUUCAUCACAUUUCUAAUUACUUGUUCUUCUUGUUAAUUAAAUGCUCUACUACUUCAAUUCUUCAUAAUUCAUUUUGGUUUUGCUUAGUGAAGAUUGAACUAAAAAUAAUAAUCUUAGCUUUAACAUUAUCCAAAACAGUGAAAAGGGAAGUACUUUUUCAUCUUGAUAUAUAAGUUGUGAAAAGAGUUAUUAUUAUUUUAAUAGUUCUAUUUUGUUCUCUUAUUUAAGUAGGUGUUGAUUAACACUUAACAUGAGAAUUAGACAAGUUUUGAUUCGGUUUUCAUUAGUGGCAGGUAGCAUUAACAGAAUAAUUUUUAGGAUAUAUAACCUAAUUCCCUAAUAAAAAAUGAAAUUAAAAAGUGUAGCUUUUUGCCAAAAUUAUGUUAGCUCUUCUUCUAAACACUAUAUACCAAAUUAAAAUUAUGAUUUUAUUAAGAUAUUUUUUGGACCAAUAAGAACCAGAGAAUUUAAAUCCAUAGCAAAAGUUGGCAUGUGGGCCCCACCAGUGGUCCUAACGUGACAGUUGCUUCAUGCUAAAUGUAGCAUUCUCUGGCUAAAAUAUUUUGGUUAAGAUGAUGUUACUAAGGCAGUGAGAGCAUGAAUUGUUGCUUUUUUUUUUUACUAUCUAGCUUGGAUAUAUGGCAGGUUAUUAUUGAUUCAUAACCUUUGACAGUGGUUGUACUUGCAGCUUUGUUAUUUGGUGAGUCCAUUGGAAUUAUCCGUGAAUGUUUUGCGCGACCAUCAGUGUUGUUAAAUAUCGGUUAUAUCGCCGAUAUACCGGUUUUUCAUAUCGGAAUUUGCCUAUCCGAUAUUCCGUUUCAAUUUCGCGACGCUCCGCAUUUCAUCCGUUUUCUAGUAUACCGGUAUACCGGUUUUGAAGUUCAUAUCAGAAUUUAUAUUUUUCUGAUCAUUUUUUUAAUAAGUUAUAUUAAAAAAUAAUUGAAAUAUUGAAUGUGAAGAGGUGGAUGGAAAAAGUAGGCUACGAAGAGGUGGAGAAGUGGCCAGUAAUAUUAGUAAGUAGGCUGUGAAGUGUGAAGAGGUGCAGACUAAUCAAGUGAAAAUGUGAAGAGGUAAAGUAAUACUCCCUCCGUCUCAAAAUUGCAAAGAGGACACCUAUUGUGAGACGGAGGGAGUAAUAAAGUGGAGAGCUGUAUGAAUAUUAAAAUAAUCUUGGUAGUCUCGAAAAUAGAAGUGAAUGUGAAGAGGUGUAUUAAUUGGUGUGAUUAUAUGUAGGACUAAUAGGAGUCAUAGUCCAUCACCAUAAAUUUCUCUUCACUAUUUUCUUUCUUCACAUUCAUUCUUCCUGGUCAUUCAUCUCUUCUAGAUAAUUCUUAUAUCUUUUCUGUUUUCUUCUCAAUUUUGUUUUUUGGUUUCAUUUCUUCUAGUUUUCUCAAACUAGUUUCUUUUCAUUCCAUUCCAUUGGGUUCUCUGUAUUCAAGUCCUUAAACCCUCUGUUUUUAUACAUUUGUUAUAGUAUGGAAAGUGGCGGUGAAGCAUCAAAACUUUUUUAAUAAUUGUUUAUGUUAGUAGCUUUUAUAUGUGUUUCAUGUUUUAUUUUAUAUAUAAAUAUUUAUUUUAACCGCCUUUAUGGUUUCCGCUAUUUGCCCGUUACGAUAUCUGAUAUUUCUCAUAUCGGGUUUUUGGUGAUCCGAUAUUUUCCGCGAUCCGAUAUUAACAACACUGGCGACCAUUAUUGUCUCAAAUUUCGUUAUCUCCGCAAUAUUUUCUGUUCAUUAUUUUUAUAUACAUUUUCAGUAAAAACUUGACACAGUUUGAAGAAGAGAGUGAAGUUGAAGAAGCUUCUGAGGAAUGAUAAUGAAGCUGAUUCUCAUAAUAACGUUUUCUUUUGUUGUCUCAGUGAUUAGAUCUGAGACUGAGACUGAGAGUUUUUCACCUCUGUAUAUGUUGGAAAACGAUGUCUUUUCAGCUCAAGUGUCUUCUUCUCAACCUGAUCAAUCUCUCAUGG